CAGUAGCCGCGGUAAUACGUAGGGUGCAAGCGUUAAUCGGAAUUACUGGGCGUAAAGCGUGCGCAGGCGGUUUCGUAAGACAGAUGUGAAAUCCCCGGGCUUAACCUGGGAACUGCAUUUGUGACUGCGAGGCUAGAGUGUGUCAGAGGGGGGUGGAAUUCCACGUGUAGCAGUGAAAUGCGUAGAUAUGUGGAGGAACACCGAUGGCGAAGGCAGCCCCCUGGGAUAACACUGACGCUCAUGCACGAAAGCGUGGGGAGCAAACAGGAUUAGAUACCCGUGUAGUCCCUGUCUCUUAUAC
RNAcentral lists this ribosomal RNA (301 nucleotides) under uncultured bacterium. RNAcentral describes it as "partial 16S ribosomal RNA". It matches the Rfam family "Bacterial small subunit ribosomal RNA", at positions 509 to 807 of the family's 1533-position model. The record is from RNAcentral.